This 235-nucleotide ribosomal RNA is filed under the name uncultured Lactobacillus sp. RNAcentral's name for it is "partial 16S ribosomal RNA". It matches the Rfam family "Bacterial small subunit ribosomal RNA", at positions 127 to 354 of the family's 1533-position model. Lineage: Bacteria; Bacillati; Bacillota; Bacilli; Lactobacillales; Lactobacillaceae. The record is from RNAcentral.
UGCCCAAGAGAUCGGGAUAACACCUGGAAACAGAUGCUAAUACCGGAUAACAACAGAUGAUGCCUAUCAACUGUUUAAAAGAUGGUUCUGCUAUCACUCUUGGAUGGACCUGCGGUGCAUUAGCUAGUUGGUAGGGUAACGGCCUACCAAGGCGAUGAUGCAUAGCCGAGUUGAGAGACUGAUCGGCCACAUUGGGACUGAGACACGGCCCAAACUCCUACGGGAGGCAGCAGGA